CGCGUAGGUGGUUUGUUAAGUUGGAUGUGAAAUCCCCGGGCUCAACCUGGGAACUGCAUUCAAAACUGACUGACUAGAGUAUGGUAGAGGGUGGUGGAAUUUCCUGUGUAGCGGUGAAAUGCGUAGAUAUAGGAAGGAACACCAGUGGCGAAGGCGACCGCCUGGACUAAUACUGACACUGAGGUGCGAAAGCGUGGGGAGCAAACA
Molecule: ribosomal RNA, 207 nt
Filed under: uncultured bacterium
Lineage: Bacteria
Description: partial 16S ribosomal RNA
Rfam family: Bacterial small subunit ribosomal RNA
Source: RNAcentral